Long non-coding RNA from Prinia subflava (tawny-flanked prinia), 371 nucleotides. RefSeq lists it as uncharacterized. The transcript is spliced from 2 exons. NCBI's taxonomy places the organism in Eukaryota, Metazoa, Chordata, Aves, Passeriformes, Cisticolidae. The record is from RefSeq and is a predicted model, not a curated record.
AGCGAGGAGAGCUGGGCCAGGGGCAUGGAGCAGCCCAGGCUGGCCUGUGGUAGCUCUCCUGCAAUAGCUGGAGCAGCUGCCUGAGGGAAACUCCGGGAAUUAUGGCUCCCAGGGGUGAGGGCACUGCCAGGACAGCGGGACCAGCUCAGCACCAUGGGCUCGUCCCUGCACAGGGAUGGGACAGGCAGUGCUGGUGGGAGUUGUGCCAUUAAAGAGCCAUCCCCCAGCAAAGAGAAGCAAUGCAGCAUCUGCGUUUCGAGCUGCAGCCUUCUUCCAGGGCUGGGUCUUUGUCACUUUGUUUGGUGCCAAAAGCUUUGAAAUCUGUUCAAGGCAUAAAACAAGGAGCGAGCAGAAGCAGAACUGCCUGGUAA